GGGCACAUGGUCUAGGGGUAUGAUUUUCGCUUCGCAUUAAUUAAUGAGAUUGUGAAAGGUCGUGGGUUCAAUUCCCACUGUGUCCA
Molecule: transfer RNA, 86 nt
Filed under: Corynespora cassiicola Philippines
Lineage: Eukaryota; Fungi; Ascomycota; Dothideomycetes; Pleosporales; Corynesporascaceae
Rfam family: tRNA
About the family: Transfer RNA (tRNA) molecules are approximately 80 nucleotides in length. Their secondary structure includes four short double-helical elements and three loops (D, anti-codon, and T loops).
Source: Rfam by way of RNAcentral